Maniola jurtina (meadow brown) is the source of this 97-nucleotide long non-coding RNA. RefSeq lists it as uncharacterized. The record is from RefSeq and is a predicted model, not a curated record. NCBI's taxonomy places the organism in Eukaryota, Metazoa, Arthropoda, Insecta, Lepidoptera, Nymphalidae. The transcript has 3 exons.
UUUAUUAAUAUAUUUAUCACUUUAUUCUACAAAUAACUUUACUUUUUUUUUUUUAUAGAGAACUCAAUGCAUUACAUUUAUUUUUUAUCGUAAAUCA